GGUCGUCAACUGUUUGUGACCCAACUGUUAUCAACUGCACGUGAAGAACAGAAAUCAAAGGAUUGCUGCUAUGUCUGAAAAAACGGAGGUUGAUUUAACCGGAGCUAAGCAAAACCAUGGCGUAUGGCUAGUAAAGGUUUCCAGUGCCGAGCCCAGCAGUGCGCCAACGCGUCAGGGAAAGGAGAGGUUGGAAAGUGUCAUUCACACUGAAUGAGGACCUGACCAGCCUGUCUGCAUUUGGGGAGAAGGCAGCGUCGGUACGAGCCCCACGGGACCAUCCAAUGACCAUGCACAGUGUAGGGGGAAAGACUAUGGCUGUGUUCACUGAAAGCU
Oncorhynchus mykiss (rainbow trout) is the source of this 333-nucleotide non-coding RNA. NCBI's taxonomy places the organism in Eukaryota, Metazoa, Chordata, Actinopteri, Salmoniformes, Salmonidae. The record is from RefSeq and is a predicted model, not a curated record.